AGAACGGAAUUGGGAUGGAGCGGCUUGGUGUCGCAGACCUUAAAUCCCAGCCCUUAGGAGGCAGAGGCAGGUCCGAGGCUACCCUAGAGUUACUUUCGUUAUUGGAUUUAGGUUUAACAAUAAAUUUUCACGUUUAAGUUGGAUUUUAAUUCUAUUUAAGAGUCAUCAUAAAACACGUUUCACGCUAAGAGUAGUUAGCUCGGGUUAGUUGGAUAGUCGCGAUGGCCGGCACUAAGAGCUUCGGGCUAUACUUGAGUAACAGAAGGAGAAUGCUUACAAACCACUCUUUCUCUACCAUGGGUUUUUGUGAAGGCUGCUGAGAUGCUGCAAUGGGGAGGUAUAAGACUCCACCUCUGGGCACAUUCUCACUUCCAAAGCUGCCUGUGCUUUCUGUUAAACUUACUGGAGCUGGAACGAGAAAGCAGUCCUUUGGCUGGCUCAGUGGCUGGAGAAACACAUCAGAAAAAACAGCAUACACAAAAAACCAUCAGUCCUGUUGUACCUAGAUCUCGAGACCCCAAAAGACACCCAGAAGUCGAAUCUGCAUGAGGAUCUUUUUAUUACAAGCUUGAGCCCAGGUUGCAGCAACCUCCCUGGUGAAGAGGAGCAAAGCAGUAUAGGGGAACAAGAUUUUUAAAGGGAAAAACUGCUAGCUGGGAGUCACAUGCCUAGACAGUACGUGAUUGGAUAAGGGAAAAUGACUUUUGAAAUGAUUGGUUUACUUUAGGUGCCAAGACCAUAAAUGGUUCUGGCUGGUCAUCUGGGCUGGUUUCCUAGCAACUGUAUCUCUAGUGGGCAGGAAAAGAAUUCAGUAAGGCUAGUUCCUCCCCUGAAGGUGGCUGGACAUGUCUCCACCUGGCUGGCCUUUGUUCAGGCCUGUGUUUUACACUUUAAACCAAUAUCCCCCAAAACUAAUAUUUAAUUUUUUGGUCUUUUAGUCUUGCCAGCUGAACAUCAGAGGCAGGCCAGACACCAUCACCUCCUACCACCUCAAUCUCCAUGUCUAAAGCCUGUUCAGCCAGUAGCCUCUAUGUCAUACCUGCUUGUUUAGUUUUAUUUCUAUUUGUAAGGCUUAGAGCAGUGUUUCUUGAAUGUGUAGAUUUUUGUCUUCCAAGCAACCCCAGUCAGCCCCUGGUCCCUUCUGGAAGUGGGACAGAAAUGGAAGGAGUGCUUAUUGGAAGUGAUGCCAGCCACAAUGACUUAAAUAUUUUCAUGCUGUCUCUCUUUUAUCCUGUUUCUGUAGGCAAAUUAGGCUGAGAUUGUCUCACAAAUGAAUUGGCUGUGUUGAUCUCCUUUCUCAAUCUUUUAUGUCAUUUCUUUUUAAGUUGGAUACUUUUCCUUUAUGGUCAUUGACUCUUUUAUUUGAUUUAUUUUGACAUUAAGCUCAUCCAAAAGAUUAGUCAUUUUCAGAUACAUCUCAGUUUUCAUUUCUAAAAUUUCCGUUUGGUUCUUUUUGUAUUUUCUAUUCUUUGGUGACACGUUCUUUUAUUGGGAGACCAUUUCCUUCACCUCACUGAGUGUAGUUAUAAUAGCUGGGCUUAAGUCCCAGUCUCAGUCCAAUUUCCAGCCCCUGUCUUCAAAGUGAAAUAUUUGCAUUGCUCUUGCUAUUUGUGGCCUCAAAGCAUCAGUGACUGACUGGGCAGAGCUCUACUGAAAGGUGGGUCUCUCUUUUUGUUUGUUUUUUGUUUUGUUUUUAUGUUAUUUGGAGUGCCCCUCAACUUCCAGAGGAAUUGAAAGCCUUAGCUCCUUUUCCCCUUUGAACAGAAAAAUGACAGAUUUUUCUCUCAGUAGUUCCUAGAUCACCACUGGAUCAGAGCCACAGAGGUAGAGAACUCACCUUGUACCAAGCCCAUCUUGCAAAUUUUGGCUUUCUAGUAAAUUCUGGCACUUUUUGUUCUCUCUGCAGAGACUUCAGUUACUAUUUUAAUAUUAUGGGCAAGGUUUAUAUUAGUCAUUUUCCAGAGGUUCAGUCUGAAGGGAAAUUAUGCUUCCUUUUCCAGAGGCAGACUCUCUUACCUGCUACUUUUUAUUAUCUGGGUAAAGGGUAUGAAUCUCACACUAUGAAAACAGUUGAAUGGGAACAUGAGCAUCUGUCUUCUAUAAUUUAAUUUUAUUUCUACAUGGAGCUCCCAACCUCAGGCUUGUUUUGCAGUCCAGGGUCAUGUGACACAUCAUAAGCAUUGAUUCAAAUGAGUCACUAUGGAGUCAUCUCUUGUUCCUGUGCAUGUGGCCCUAUUAAAUCAUUUGGCUUUCUGCUGGUCUUAACUGUAUUAGUAUGGCCACCUAGUUUCCAGAUACUGAGAAAGACAAGCUGCCAUUUUCUUUCCAGCAUCUUCAGUUCCCUGGUGGUACCACGGAGACGGAGACCUAAGCCUCUCCUCUCUUCAGACCUCCAGAUCUCUUUCUUCUCACAUCCUUCUCUGAGUCUAGCUUCCUUGGUUUACGUUUGAACAUUUUCUUCUUUCAAGUUUCUUGGUGUUACACUAUUAUUUUCCUGCAAUGUCUUGAGAGAACCAGGCAACAGUCAACAGUCCCAGGAACUAGGCCAUAGGUCAUCAAUUCUAGGAAGAAGACAACGGAGUCCCCUAUCUAAGGAACAGCCUGGAGGUAACCAAAAGCAUGGGAAGGUAUCUUAUCUCAGGGUGGGGCAUCUGUGCUGGGCAGUCCACUGACAUGGUAGUAGAACUUUCAUGUCACAGAAAUACCUAAUAUUCUUGAGGUCUAUAGAUAGCUUGUUCAAUGUUAGUUAGCCACAAUCACCUUGUAACAAUCUUGCCAUUGGUGAAUGGCACCAAAUUGUGUAACUGCUAAGCUGUAAUUUCCCAAAGCUCACUGCAAGCCAAUAAAAAUCCUGCUCU
This is a long non-coding RNA of Meriones unguiculatus (Mongolian gerbil), 2858 nucleotides long. RefSeq lists it as uncharacterized. The transcript has 4 exons. The record is from RefSeq and is a predicted model, not a curated record. NCBI's taxonomy places the organism in Eukaryota, Metazoa, Chordata, Mammalia, Rodentia, Muridae.